AGGAAAAAAAAGAGGAUGCAUUACAACUACAAUGGAGAGUGAAGAGGCUGUCAAGAAAGAAUGAGCUAGGAUAAAAUGUUGCAAUGAAGGUGAUUUUGUCCAUUGCUUAAAACUAGACCAGCAUAAAUUAAAACAUUUAUGAUAGGAAUAGCUUAUGAUGGGGUUUUCUUGGAAUAGUUAUGCUUCUUGUACAUUUUUUUUCCUUCAAAAUGUCAUGAGAAUCUUUAAUCGGCAUAACUAUUCUCUAUGUAUACUAAGCUUUUAAAGAUUGCUUGUCUAACCUUAUUCCAGACCUUAUGCCUGCUUUAUACCCUAACGAGAGGUAUCCAGCCUAGAAGUGCAGCUUCUUAUCACAGGUAGGCAGCUGGAACAAAGCAUGUAGAUAUACUCCUUUCUUCUGAAUAGGGAUGGUACAGUAUACACUGGGUUAGGAGAAUGGGGUUUUAUCAAUACUCUCGUCUGUCGACCAUCUACUAAAUUUGUCAACAAUCUACGAAAGGUCAGAAGAAAAGUGAUUCCUUCCAUCCUAUCCAUGCACGCUUGCUUGAAGAACCCUUCCUUGUCCCAAAACUUGGAAAGGAAAUGGGCAUAGAUCCCAUCUAAAAUGACAGCUAAACUUAUCCAUAUAAUGAAUCCCCAGCUUUUGAGUCUUGUAAAUGACUGCUUGAAAUUUUCUCCGGGGCCUAUCGGCAGUGCAAAACAAGCUUGUUACCCACAAACAGAGGGGAAGGAUACCUUCUAAAUUGCUGCUCGCCGUAAACAAACAGGUGGACACCAGGUGCAGGGUCCAGCAAUUACAGCUUCGUCACUCAUCAAAUGAUUGCUUUAGGCUCUGUUCAGCAUCGAAUUAAACUCCUUGUCCUUUAAGUUUGCAAGGAAAUUAAUGAGCCAGAUACCUUCUAAAUUGCCACAAACCUCAUCCAGAAUGGUGAUGCCACUUCCUUUUUCUGUCUUUUGUUUUCUGGGGUGGG
This 971-nucleotide long non-coding RNA is filed under the name Phoenix dactylifera (date palm). RNAcentral describes it as "long non-coding RNA (PDAC_LNC002144)". Lineage: Eukaryota; Viridiplantae; Streptophyta; Magnoliopsida; Arecales; Arecaceae. The record is from RNAcentral.